Molecule: ribosomal RNA, 252 nt
Filed under: uncultured bacterium
Lineage: Bacteria
Description: partial 16S ribosomal RNA
Rfam family: Bacterial small subunit ribosomal RNA
Source: RNAcentral
UGCCUACGGGGCGCAGCAGUGGGGAAUAUUGCACAAUGGGGGAAACCCUGAUGCAGCGACGCCGCGUGAGUGAAGAAGUAUUUCGGUAUGUAAAGCUCUAUCAGCAGGGAAGAAAAUGACGGUACCUGACUAAGAAGCCCCGGCUAACUACGUGCCAGCAGCCGCGGUAAUACGUAGGGUGCAAGCGUUAUCCGGGAUUACUGGGUGUCAAGGGAGCGUAGACGGCAUGGCAAGUCAGAUGUGAGCGCCCGG